GAUGAAGAACGCAGCGAAAUGCGAUAAGUAAUGUGAAUUGCAGAAUUCAGUGAAUCAUCGAAUCUUUGAACGCACAUUGCGCCCGCCAGCAUUCUGGCGGGCAUGCCUGUUCGAGCGUCAUUUCAACCCUCAAGCUCUGCUUGGUGUUGGGGCCCUACGGUUGACGUAGGCCCUUAAAGGUAGUGGCGGACCCUCUCGGAGCCUCCUUUGCGUAGUAACUAACGUCUCGCAUUGGGAUUCGGAGGGACUCUUGCCGUAAAACCCCCAAAUUUUCUAAUGGUUGAACUCGGAUCAGGUAGGAAUACCCGCUGAACUUAAGCAUAUCAAUAAGCGGAGGA
RNAcentral lists this unclassified non-coding RNA (338 nucleotides) under soil metagenome. RNAcentral's name for it is "partial contains 5.8S ribosomal RNA, internal transcribed spacer 2, and large subunit ribosomal RNA". The stretch from base 1 to 120 matches the Rfam family "5.8S ribosomal RNA", at positions 35 to 154 of the family's 154-position model. The record is from RNAcentral.